This 373-nucleotide ribosomal RNA is filed under the name uncultured organism. RNAcentral describes it as "bacterial SSU rRNA". It matches the Rfam family "Bacterial small subunit ribosomal RNA", at positions 526 to 896 of the family's 1533-position model. The record is from RNAcentral.
CGUAGGGACCGAGCGUUGUCCGGAUUCAUUGGGCGUAAAGAGCUCGUAGGCGGCUGCUCAAGUCGAAUGUGAAAACUCGAGGCUCAACCUCGAGCCUGCAUUCGAUACUGGGCGGCUAGAGUCUGGUAGGGGGAUCUGGAAUUCCUGGUGUAGCGGUGGAAUGCGCAGAUAUCAGGAGGAACACCGGUGGCGAAGGCGGGACCCUGGGCCAGUACUGACGCUGAGGAGCGAAAGCGUGGGGAGCAAACAGGAUUAGAUACCCUGGUAGUCCACGCCGUAAACGAUGGGCGCUAGGUGUGGGAGGUCAUCGACUCCUUCCGUGCCGCAGCUAACGCAUUAAGCGCCCCGCCUGGGGAGUACGGCCGCAAGGCUA